UGGCGGACGGGUGAGUAAUGUCUGGGAAACUGCCCGAUGGAGGGGGAUAACUACUGGAAACGGUAGCUAAUACCGCAUAACGUCGCAAGACCAAAGAGGGGGACCUUCGGGCCUCUUGCCAUCGGAUGUGCCCAGAUGGGAUUAGCUAGUAGGUGGGGUAACGGCUCACCUAGGCGACGAUGCGUAGCCGACCUGAGAGGGUGACCGGCCACACUGGGACUGAGACACGGCCCAG
This 235-nucleotide ribosomal RNA is filed under the name uncultured bacterium. RNAcentral describes it as "partial 16S ribosomal RNA". It matches the Rfam family "Bacterial small subunit ribosomal RNA", at positions 96 to 334 of the family's 1533-position model. The record is from RNAcentral.